CCUGUAGCUCAGUGGACAGAGCAGCUGACUUCGGAUCAGCGGGUCGUAGGUUCGAAUCCUACCAG
Molecule: transfer RNA, 65 nt
Filed under: marine eukaryotic metagenome
Rfam family: tRNA
About the family: Transfer RNA (tRNA) molecules are approximately 80 nucleotides in length.
Source: RNAcentral